GGGGGAAAAUUAAUUAAUAAAAAUGUUAAUAAAAAAAAUUUUAAUAUUAAAAUAUGAAUAAUGGGGGUUAAAGUAUUUUAAUAGAAAAAAUUUUUUAAUUUAUAGUGUAUGAGUAUUGUGGGGGAAAUUUGAAAUAUUUGAAAUUGAAUUUUUUUAUAAGUAAAUUUAAUUUAUUGUAUCUUGUGUAUCAGAGUUUAUUAAUUAUUUUUUAUAUAUGUAAAUUUCUCGAAUUUAAAAGAGUUAAUUAAUUAAUAAAUUUAUUGUUUUAUAAAUAUUUUUAAUAAUUAAUUAGAAAUGAAAUGUUAUUCGUUUUUAAAUAUAUCUAGUUUUUUAAGAAAAAAAUUUAAUUUUAAAUUAAAUAAGUUAUAAAAUUAUUUAAUUAUUUAAAAUAAUUUUAUUUUUAAUUUUAUAUUUUAAGGGAUAAUCUUUAAAUUAAAUUUUUAUAAUUACAACAUAAAAAAAAUAAAAAAUUUUAUAAUUUAAAUUGUUAAUAAAUUUUAUUUUAUUAUAAAUAAUUUUACUAAAAUUUAAGAUUUAAUUUUAAUUUAAUAUUUUAUUAAAAAAUUAUUAUGAAUUAUUUAUAUUAAGUUAUAAUGAUAAAAUUAGUAUAAAAGAAAAAUAUUUAAAAUUUUAUAUUUUUAAUAAUUAUUUAAAAGGAAUUCGACAAAAGUUUAUAUUCACCUGUUUAUCAAAAACAUGUCUUUUUGGUAAAUAAUUUAAAGUCUAAUCUGCCCACUGAUUUAAUUAUUAAAGGGCUGCAGUAUUUUGACUGUACAAAGGUAGCAUAAUCAUUAGUCUCUUAAUUGGUGACUUGUAUGAAAGAUUGGAUGAAAUAUAAAUUGUCUCUUGAAUAUUAAAUUGAAUUUAAUUUUUUAAUUAAAAAGUUAAAAUAAAUUAAAAAGACGAGAAGACCCUAUAGAGUUUUAUAUUUAUUUAAAAUUAAUUUAUAAAUUAAUUUUAUUAAUUUAAUUUUAAUUUAAUUAUUUUAUUGGGGUGAUAAAAAAAUUAAAUUAACUUUUUUUAAGUUUUUACAUUAAUUUAUGAUUUAUUGAUCCAUUAUUAUUGAUUAUAAGAAAAAAUUACCUUAGGGAUAACAGCGUAAUUUUUUUUUUUAGUACUUAUAAGAAAAAGAGUUUGCGACCUCGAUGUUGGAUUAAGAUAAAAUUUAAAUGUAAAAGUUUAAAAUUUUUGAUCUGUUCGAUCAUUAAAAUCUUACAUGAUCUGAGUUCAAACCGGUGUAAGCCAGGUUGGUUUCUAUCUUUUAAAGAUUUUUAAUAUUUUAGUACGAAAGGAGUAAAUAUUAUAAUUAAAUUAAUUUUUUAGAAUUUUAAUAAUAAUAAUUAAUAAAUUUAUUA
Molecule: ribosomal RNA, 1355 nt
Filed under: Orecta lycidas
Lineage: Eukaryota; Metazoa; Arthropoda; Insecta; Lepidoptera; Sphingidae
Description: 16S ribosomal RNA
Source: RNAcentral